This 1041-nucleotide unclassified non-coding RNA is filed under the name Leishmania donovani. RNAcentral describes it as "gene:LdHU3.15.0760(CDS-product:hypothetical_prote in_conserved)". The record is from RNAcentral. Lineage: Eukaryota; Euglenozoa; Kinetoplastea; Trypanosomatida; Trypanosomatidae.
CAAGCCAGCAGCCAAAACCGCGAUCCCGGUGACAGCCGCCCUUCCGCGGCUUUCCUUUCGAUCCCGCAUCCGCACUGUCGAGCGCUCGUGUCGCACACCGAUCCCCACUCACCCACGCCAACGAUGCCGCGCAAGAAGAAUGCGUUCAUGUACUCCAUCGACCCGGAGCUGUACACUCGCUCGCACGCGCCGGCCAGUACGAUCGCCAUGGGUAUGAAGAGCUCCCAAGCCUCCUCGCUCUGCUGGGCGAAUCAGGUGCAGCAGGAGGAGCGGAUUCGCGAAAUGUGGGGUGCGACGUACGACCCACACCACAACCGGGAAAAUCGGGCUUUGCAAGCAGUGCAGCAGACGCGCGCGCGUGAUGCGGCGCGGCACGAGGCGUACGUGAACCCCGAACACAACCCAGAGCUGUGCAGCAUCCUGUACAAGAAGGUGCCUCCGUUCUCUGUAAGCGACGCAGCGGCGGCAACGGCGGCAUCCUCGUCUCCCCAGCACCACACCACCACAGAAGCAGCUCUGGCAGGGACAGCGACGGGCACAGGUGACCCAAGCGACAGCGCCUUCGCUCGUUCUGCGCGCUCCGUCACGCAGGAAUACCUUCAGGCUCGCUGCAGGCACCACACGUUGCAGCAGCGCUACCCGAGUGGACCGGUCACCGCCGCGCAGGCUGUGGGGUGGGCGGCCGGUGCAACCGACCGGGCUUCGGCGUCGUCACUAGAGGCGUCGUCUUCCCCGUACCGCCAGGUGCGCCGUCGCCAGAUCGGUGCCUAUCGAAAGCCAGAGGACGAUGAACACGCGUUGCUGUUCGGCUACGACUAUACGCCGAAGUAGGCAUCUAGGGGCAGCGACAUGCGCCGCGCAGGUCUCUCCGUUGUGUCUGACGCUCGUAACUCGCUCGCUGCCUCUUGCGAUGUCAGCGAAAACCUGUGGAAGCGUGCGUGUGUGUGUAUGUGAGUGUGUCACGGUGUAGGUGAAUAUGUAUGCUUGCUUCUCGUGCGAUGUCUCAUUACUUCUGCGACGUGCUCUCUCUCUUCCCUUCUC